AAACGGCCGCGUUAGCGUGAGCGUGCUAAGGUAGCGUAAUAAAUAGCCUUUUAAUUGGAGGCCAGUGAAUGGCAAGACUGGGGAUACCUAUACCACGCGUGAUAAAAAAACUUUUCAUUUGAGUGAAAAGACUCAAAUACCAAAAGAAGACGAAAAGACCCCGCGGAACUUUACCUUUUCUGGUGCACACAUGCUCAGAAACACGCAAAACAAAAGGUUUGAUUGGGGCAAUCUCGGAACCAACCAAACUUCCGACUUAUUAACAUAAAAUAUACGAAAUUUAAUAAAGAUCAAAAAGAAGUUACCCCGGGGAUAACAGCGUAAUCCAACUUGAGAGUACGCAUCGAAAGUUGGGUUUGCGACCUCGAUGUUGGCUUAAGG
RNAcentral lists this ribosomal RNA (381 nucleotides) under Obliquaria reflexa. Its description in RNAcentral is "partial 16S ribosomal RNA". It matches the Rfam family "Bacterial large subunit ribosomal RNA", at positions 1925 to 2542 of the family's 2925-position model. The record is from RNAcentral. Lineage: Eukaryota; Metazoa; Mollusca; Bivalvia; Unionida; Unionidae.